RNAcentral lists this ribosomal RNA (1116 nucleotides) under Aeromonas veronii. RNAcentral describes it as "bacterial SSU rRNA". It matches the Rfam family "Bacterial small subunit ribosomal RNA", at positions 65 to 1154 of the family's 1533-position model. The record is from RNAcentral. Lineage: Bacteria; Pseudomonadati; Pseudomonadota; Gammaproteobacteria; Aeromonadales; Aeromonadaceae.
AGCGGGUGAGUAGGUUGCUACUUUUGCCGGCGAGCGGCGGACGGGUGAGUAAUGCCUGGGGAUCUGCCCAGUCGAGGGGGAUAACUACUGGAAACGGUAGCUAAUACCGCAUACGCCCUACGGGGGAAAGCAGGGGACCUUCGGGCCUUGCGCGAUUGGAUGAACCCAGGUGGGAUUAGCUAGUUGGUGAGGUAAUGGCUCACCAAGGCGACGAUCCCUAGCUGGUCUGAGAGGAUGAUCAGCCACACUGGAACUGAGACACGGUCCAGACUCCUACGGGAGGCAGCAGUGGGGAAUAUUGCACAAUGGGGGAAACCCUGAUGCAGCCAUGCCGCGUGUGUGAAGAAGGCCUUCGGGUUGUAAAGCACUUUCAGCGAGGAGGAAAGGUUGGUAGCUAAUAACUGCCAGCUGUGACGUUACUCGCAGAAGAAGCACCGGCUAACUCCGUGCCAGCAGCCGCGGUAAUACGGAGGGUGCAAGCGUUAAUCGGAAUUACUGGGCGUAAAGCGCACGCAGGCGGUUGGAUAAGUUAGAUGUGAAAGCCCCGGGCUCAACCUGGGAAUUGCAUUUAAAACUGUCCGGCUAGAGUCUUGUAGAGGGGGGUAGAAUUCCAGGUGUAGCGGUGAAAUGCGUAGAGAUCUGGAGGAAUACCGGUGGCGAAGGCGGCCCCCUGGACAAAGACUGACGCUCAGGUGCGAAAGCGUGGGGAGCAAACAGGAUUAUAUACCCUGGUAGUCCACGCCGUAAACGAUGUCGAUUUGGAGGCUGUGUCCUUGAAACGUGGCUUCCGGAGCUAACGCGUUAAAUCGACCGCCUGGGGAGUACGGCCGCAAGGUUAAAACUCAAAUGAAUUGACGGGGGCCCGCCCCAAGCGGUGGAGCAUGUGGGUUUAAUUCCAUGCAACGCGAAGAACCUUACCUGGCCUUGACAUGUCUGGAAUCCUGUAAAAAAUACGGGAAUUGCCUUCCGGGAAUCAAAACACAGGUGCUGCAUGGGCUGUCGUCAGCCUCCUGUCCUGGAAAUGUUGGGUUUAAUUCCCCCCAAACAAGCUCUAACCCCUUGCCCUUUUGUUGCCAGGCACCAAAAAUGGUUGCCAACUUCAAGGGAAAACUGCCC